UGCGGAAGUAGUUCAGUGGUAGAACAUCACCUUGCCAUGGUGGGGGUCGCGGGUUCGAAUCCCGUCUUCCGC
This 72-nucleotide transfer RNA is filed under the name Latilactobacillus sakei. RNAcentral describes it as "Lactobacillus sakei tRNA-Gly". It matches the Rfam family "tRNA". Rfam says of the family: Transfer RNA (tRNA) molecules are approximately 80 nucleotides in length. Lineage: Bacteria; Bacillati; Bacillota; Bacilli; Lactobacillales; Lactobacillaceae. The record is from RNAcentral.